This 853-nucleotide ribosomal RNA is filed under the name uncultured Alteromonas sp. RNAcentral describes it as "bacterial SSU rRNA". It matches the Rfam family "Bacterial small subunit ribosomal RNA", at positions 8 to 858 of the family's 1533-position model. The record is from RNAcentral. Lineage: Bacteria; Pseudomonadati; Pseudomonadota; Gammaproteobacteria; Alteromonadales; Alteromonadaceae.
AGAGUUUGAUCCUGGCUCAGAUUGAACGCUGGCGGCAGGCCUAACACAUGCAAGUCGAACGGUAACAUUUCUAGCUUGCUAGAAGAUGACGAGUGGCGGACGGGUGAGUAAUGCUUGGGAACUUGCCUUUGCGAGGGGGAUAACAGUUGGAAACGACUGCUAAUACCGCAUAAUGUCUACGGACCAAACGGGGCUUAGGCUCCGGCGCAAAGAGAGGCCCAAGUGAGAUUAGCUAGUUGGUAAGGUAACGGCUUACCAAGGCGACGAUCUCUAGCUGUUCUGAGAGGAAGAUCAGCCACACUGGGACUGAGACACGGCCCAGACUCCUACGGGAGGCAGCAGUGGGGAAUAUUGCACAAUGGGGGAAACCCUGAUGCAGCCAUGCCGCGUGUGUGAAGAAGGCCUUCGGGUUGUAAAGCACUUUCAGUUGUGAGGAAAAGUUAGUAGUUAAUACCUGCUAGCCGUGACGUUAACAACAGAAGAAGCACCGGCUAACUCCGUGCCAGCAGCCGCGGUAAUACGGAGGGUGCGAGCGUUAAUCGGAAUUACUGGGCGUAAAGCGCACGCAGGCGGUUUGUUAAGCUAGAUGUGAAAGCCCCGGGCUCGACCUGGGAUGGUCAUUUAGAACUGGCAGACUAGAGUCUUGGAGAGGGGAGUGGAAUUCCAGGUGUAGCGGUGAAAUGCGUAGAUAUCUGGAGGAACAUCAGUGGCGAAGGCGACUCCCUGGCCAAAGACUGACGCUCAUGUGCGAAAGUGUGGGUAGCGAACAGGAUUAGAUACCCUGGUAGUCCACACCGUAAACGCUGUCUACUAGCUGUGUGUGUCUUUAAGACGUGCGUAGCGAAGCUAACGC